Molecule: long non-coding RNA, 443 nt
Filed under: Pan troglodytes (chimpanzee)
Lineage: Eukaryota; Metazoa; Chordata; Mammalia; Primates; Hominidae
Description: long non-coding RNA NONPTRT003765
Source: RNAcentral
GUUUGGCCCAGCUAACCCCACACAUUCCACUGACUUGGGCCACACUAUCCAGGCCCGACAUGACCAGAUCUGCUUCCCGUUCAGGUUUCCUGAGCGCACUGCAUCUGAGCACAGCCCCAGUCCAAACUACACAUCAGUAGGCCCAAUCAUGGGGCGUCUGAGGAACCGUAUCGCUCACGAGCAACAGGGUAACUGACUGUUGUAACGGAUAGCUUCGGUGGCUGCUGGGAGGGGACGAGAUAACCGCAGCCUGGACUACGCAGCUCAGGCAAGAGGCCUCAGGCCUCACGCAGCCGUUCCCCGCGGGGCACUUCCCACGGGCACCUCCAGGCUGCCCUCCGUCACGCGUCCUUCUUCUCCAGGCUGCCCUCCGUCACGCUCCUUCUCCAGGCUGCCCUCCAUCACGCGUCCUUCUUCUCCAGGCUGCCCUCCAUCACGCGUCC